RNAcentral lists this transfer RNA (71 nucleotides) under Cordylochernes scorpioides. Its description in RNAcentral is "tRNA-Gly". It matches the Rfam family "tRNA". From Rfam's summary of the family: Transfer RNA (tRNA) molecules are approximately 80 nucleotides in length. The record is from RNAcentral. Lineage: Eukaryota; Metazoa; Arthropoda; Arachnida; Pseudoscorpiones; Chernetidae.
GCAUCGGUGGUUCAGUGGUAGAAUGCUCGCCUGCCACGCGAGCGGCCCGCGUUCGAUUCCCGGCCGAUGCC